RNAcentral lists this long non-coding RNA (1632 nucleotides) under Malus domestica (apple). RNAcentral's name for it is "long non-coding RNA (MDOM_LNC003073)". The record is from RNAcentral. Lineage: Eukaryota; Viridiplantae; Streptophyta; Magnoliopsida; Rosales; Rosaceae.
UCUACUCAAACUACUCAAAUUUCCAACAAGAAAUGCAAACUUUAUGGUUCUGAAGUGCAGAUUAAACCAGAGUUCCGGUGUUCAAAGGGUGGUUAACACAAGAGAAUGAUACGAAGAAAUCAAAUUAACUCAAGCAUCAACUGGCAUGGAAAAGACUCAUCUCAAAGUGCAAUGCCAAAGUAAAUGAGGUUUAUCUAGCUACUCCAAAACAAUUGACAAACAAAUAUAAAACAGUUCAUAAUUACCGUUCAACGAAAAAACUUUCACAAAAAAUUUUGCAAUAAAAGGAUAAUGCAUGCAUUAUGAUACUUAAGCGCAGAUAGAAACAAAGUCCAAGUGUUAAAAGUGUGGUAAAUGUAGAGAAUAUGAUAUGAAGCAAACAAAUUGCUUUGCAUUAAGUGGCUUGGGACAAAUUUAGUAAACACAAGCAACCUGAUAAGUAAAAGUUAGAGCAUGGUCUCAAAAUGUGAUACAGAAUCUAUGGAAUUUAUCUAGUUAAACAUAAAGAAAAUGACCAAAUGUGUCAAGACAACAAUAAAAUCCACUCAGAACAUGAGAAUGAGCCGCUAAUAUUCUAUGGGAAAUUCAUCUUCAUUAAUAAAAUCAAUAAAUCAUCAACAGAUGUGAAAAUUUCAAACAUAAAUUUUUAUCUUGAAUGUCUUUAAAGGUCGUACCCAGUGCUCAAGGCUCCCGCUUUACGCAGGGUCUGGGAGAGGUGAAUGUCGGCUAGCCUUACCCCCAUUUAUGGAGAGGCUGCUCCCAAGUCUCGAACACGAGACCUACCGCUCAUGGGCGAAGGCACUUGCCAUCGCACCAAGUGCGACCUCUUAUCUUGAAUGUCUUUACAGCAUUUAAAACUAAGUCAUGCAUAUGUCAAUGGUAGAAGUAAAUAUACAUCCACUAAUUUCAACGUCUUUCCAUUUCUGGUCAAAACAUCUAAAAAACUUAUUUCAUCAGUUCAUAAAUCUCAUGCUUACCAACCUCUUAUCAAUACAUCACUAUGAUCUAAUAUUUCAAUAAUUAUACAAAAAAAGAGCUAUACAUGUAUACCAAUCAGUUUUUAACUAAAGGAAACCUUUUAUGUUCCCGUCUUCUGUCCUUUUACAUGUUAACCUACAAACUUGUAUUGGCAAGCACCUUAAACACAUUGCUUUUAGCCUUGCCCUACAGUACAGCAGGUGCUAAUUGAUUUCGUUGUGUUUUCUCAGAUCACAAGUGCUCCAGGAAAGCACCUUUACCAAUAUUACUCACAAAACUCUUGAAGACCAUGAACUAUCAUACCACUAGAGACUACAAAUUAUUGUAUGAAAUGUUUAUGGUAAUCACUGAACUGUGAAAUGCCAGAAGCCUGGCAUGCCCAGCCUACCCCAUACAAAAACAAACCCAAGUAGCCCUUUUAAGAAAACUGAAUCAAGGGAUACACAUAUCGUGAACGAGGCUAUUGAGUUAUAAUCACCAAAGAUGUACAACGCCAAAACCAAAUGAUUAAACGACUAAAGCAGCAUUACAAAUACAGAAAACAGUUCCAGCGUCAAAUGCAUAAAUCAGAACUACGGUACAAAGAACAACAUAGCAAAGCAAUACUUCAAAAUUCCGGAAAAGCGGAAGCGUAAAUAGAAAGAUAAAGAGACU